RNAcentral lists this non-coding RNA (29 nucleotides) under Gallus gallus (chicken). RNAcentral also lists the same sequence under 5 other names. Lineage: Eukaryota; Metazoa; Chordata; Aves; Galliformes; Phasianidae. The record is from RNAcentral.
UUCGUACGUAGCAGAGCAGCUCCCUCGCU